AUUGAACGCUGGCGGCAUGCCUUACACAUGCAAGUCGAACGGUAACAAGUCUUCGGAUGCUGACGAGUGGCGAACGGGUGAGUAAUACAUCGGAACGUGCCUAGCAGUGGGGGAUAACUACUCGAAAGAGUGGCUAAUACCGCAUGAGACCUACGGAUGAAAGCAGGGGAUCGCAAGACCUUGUGCUACUAGAGCGGCCGAUGGCAGAUUAGGUAGUUGGUGGGAUAAAAGCUUACCAAGCCGACGAUCUGUAGCUGGUCUGAGAGGACGAUCAGCCACACUGGGACUGAGACACGGCCCAGACUCCUACGGGAGGCAGCAGUGGGGAAUUUUGGACAAUGGGCGCAAGCCUGAUCCAGCAAUGCCGCGUGCAGGAUGAAGGCCUUCGGGUUGUAAACUGCUUUUGUACGGAACGAAAAGCCCCGGGUUAAUACCCUGGGGUCAUGACGGUACCGUAAGAAUAAGCACCGGCUAACUACGUGCCAGCCGCCGCAGUAA
RNAcentral lists this ribosomal RNA (498 nucleotides) under uncultured bacterium. RNAcentral describes it as "partial 16S ribosomal RNA". It matches the Rfam family "Bacterial small subunit ribosomal RNA", at positions 30 to 523 of the family's 1533-position model. The record is from RNAcentral.